GACUACGCUGCUGUAGUACGCGGUGACUUGGAAAGGCCAGCCACCGUCGCGUCAGGAGGCUUCGAUGCCGCUCUUCAAUUAUCGCCCGACCACCAUUUGACACACAAGAAACAGCUGUUUGUUAGUUCAGCAGUUGAUUACCAGGAGGCCUUCUCUCGAGCAUUUUCCUAAUAAUUUUUACAACAUCCGACAGAUGGAACUGGUCGUCACGGUCACGUGAUACUCUUCAGGGUCAAUUCGAACUAUUUAAAGCGCUGAAAAAUCAAACUUUCCAUGCGGAUGAUUAUUACGGGUUGCAGAAUUGUAUUGCAAACAACUCCUUGAACGACUUUGAUUCGUGUGAUUGAGUUUUAUUGAAAUGAUAAAAUAUCAUUAAUCGCACGAAGUUUUACUUCGUUUAUUUUUUGUACAGGAAUUCUUGUGCAAUAUUCACGCCCGCGAAUCAGCUUACAUAAAUUAUUUCUUGACUUUCGGUACAUCAGGACCCCGAUUCUGACUUGUUUUUGACUCGUGAAAACGUUAAUAAGCACCAUCUAGACCAAUCAGAAGUCAACUCAUGUUCACAACUAUUAUUACGUCUGAAUUUUGCUGUAUAUUACAGCACUGUUUUAGAAUAUGUGGAUGAUUGUGAUUCGAAUAAACUUGUAGACAACCUGCCGAUAUACCUAUAUUACCAAUAUACACCUUAAGAAAUCAAUAACUUAUUAAAUUACCCACUCUGCGUGCCAAUAAUCAUAGAGAAUUCUAUUUACAUGAGAUAAUUUUAGUGGAUGA
Molecule: long non-coding RNA, 774 nt
Organism: Diprion similis
Lineage: Eukaryota; Metazoa; Arthropoda; Insecta; Hymenoptera; Diprionidae
Exons: 2
Source: RefSeq, a predicted model, not a curated record